This 491-nucleotide ribosomal RNA is filed under the name uncultured bacterium. RNAcentral describes it as "partial 16S ribosomal RNA". It matches the Rfam family "Bacterial small subunit ribosomal RNA", at positions 29 to 507 of the family's 1533-position model. The record is from RNAcentral.
AGUGAACGCUGGCGGUAGGCCUAACACAUGCAAGUCGAGCGGCAGCACAGUAAGAGCUUGCUCUUACGGGUGGCGAGUGGCGGACGGGUGAGGAAUACAUCGGAAUCUACUUUUUUGUGGGGGAUAACGUAGGGAAACUUACGCUAAUACCGCAUACGACCUACGGGUGAAAGCAGGGGAUCUUCGGACCUUGCGCGAUUGAAUGAGCCGAUGUCGGAUUAGCUAGUUGGCGGGGUAAAGGCCCACCAAGGCGACGAUCCGUAGCUGGUCUGAGAGGAUGAUCAGCCACACUGGAACUGAGACACGGUCCAGACUCCUACGGGAGGCAGCAGUGGGGAAUAUUGGACAAUGGGCGCAAGCCUGAUCCAGCCAUACCGCGUGGGUGAAGAAGGCCUUCGGGUUGUAAAGCCCUUUGUUGGGAAAGAAAAGCAGCAGGUUAAUACCCCGCUGUUCUGACGGUACCCAAAGAAUAAGCACCGGCUAACUUCGUG